Physcomitrium patens is the source of this 2291-nucleotide non-coding RNA. NCBI's taxonomy places the organism in Eukaryota, Viridiplantae, Streptophyta, Bryopsida, Funariales, Funariaceae. The record is from RefSeq and is a predicted model, not a curated record.
AGACACGGUAGGAGGGGAAAAGUUCGGGAUGGAGGAUAAGGUCCUUCAAACCUUCCAACAGAACAAGUGAACGUAAAACUUGUUUUCGUUCACGAUUGUGAUCGACGAAAGCUAACGGCGUUCUUGUCGGCGUAAACGUACGAACAAAGAAUCAUGCCUUCCUUCACAAGUGCGAAGCGUAAUGUUUCUCUUCAGAACGAUCUCUUGCAGCGGAAACAUGGGCCUCGAAAUUCGAACUCUGUUUCCAUCUGAGCCAAUGCCUUUGUCAGUGAGAGCAGAACAAUGUUGGUCUAGGGAAAACAACCUGCUAGAAUCACGCAGGUUGAUGAAAUUUAGGAGUCAUGGUGUGCUCUGCGCGGCAAACACUUGGGGAAGUUCUGGGAAUAGGAUUUUGCGAAGGCUUUCGGAUUUUUCAAGCGUGGUGGUUUCCUUGGGCAAUUGUUCUUUAGAUAAGCGACGGAUUAGGUUGGACCGCAGGAAUGCCCAUCAGACUCGUAGGCAUGAUUUCACUGUUUUUGCGAUGCCUUUCUCCGGUGACUCAGAUGAUGAACCACAAACGUCUCCCGAAAUCACACCUAUGUCAUCAAAAUACCCUUGUAUGUAUGUCAAGAGCGCGGUCUCUUCCGGCGAGACCAUUGAGUAUCCAGGAACCAUCGUUAUUCUUGGCGAUGUGCAUGAAGGAGGAGCCAUUGUGGCAGGUGGUGACAUUGUGGUAGUAGGCCGGCUCCGCGGGUCUGUUCACGGCGGUCGGAACGGUGACAGGGGGGCUGUUGUCUACGCUACGCAGCUGGAUGCUUGCCACAUUCGUAUUGCUGAUGCAACCUUUGUUACCGAGUCGCAUUUUUCUGACCGUCCUGCAAUUGCCUCGAUUCAAGAAGACGGCAAACUGGACAUCCGUGCAGCAGUUCGAAAGUUCGAAGACAGCAAGUCCCCCAGUAAUUCCUGCACAUUAAAUUCUGCAGUGGUGAAACAGUCACUGCAGACGUCCAAAGGCUCCGAAAGCAAGGAUUUGAAGUUUUCAAGGCGACCAGCACAGCUCGCACUGUUCACCGGCGUAUACAUUAGUGUGGUUGGUAUGGCAUUGCUCGCAUUUCCAACAUUUCUCUUUGGGGCUUUGUUUGACGUGCGCAGCGUUACUGUGGGGUGGAUACGAGUUGGAGCGAUCCUGGCAGUGGUCUUUGGAGUAUACUACAUCGGAACAGCUAUUGGUGAUCUGAGAGGAAGGUCAGGCGCUCGGGCAUUCUACACGUCUACCGUCGUAGGCCGUGUGUUCCUAUUUUUUGGAUUUUGUUGGCUUGUGGCUGUUGGUGCGGCUCAACCUGCUCUCGUCAUGGUGGGUACCGUUAAUAUGUUGGGGGCCAUGUCCAUGCUAUUUGCCUUGCGGCAAGCUCCUGAAGCAAGCGUCCCCAACACUUGAAUAAUGAGUAUUUAGCAGCAACGUGCCGCUUUUGCGUUACUGCAUUGUCAUUUAGUCCAAUAUAUCUGGAAUGGGUGGAAUUGUAUAUAACAUGGUCUGCAGAAAGCAAACAGGAAGACGUGCCAGCUAGACUCCCAUGAAUUUCGGCUAUUUCCUGUUUCAAGCCCAACCAAGAUUGAAGAAACGUGGAAAACAUGAACGAGAAUGGGCGAGUUCUGUAAUGGCACAAUUAAGCCCAGGCCACACCAUUUAUUCUUCGGCAACAAGGGAUACCCUCUACUCGUACUUUAAUCACUUCCAAGUUUUCGAGGACCCCACAGCAAAGUUAAACCAAGCAUUUCUUGAACAUCAAGCACUGACAUCAUGCCCUCCCCCUCAAUCAUAUCACAACUCACUCUGUUCACCAUUUUCACAUUCCUGAUUCAGUCCCAAUCAAGAAUCCGUGUCACUCGACGCGCAUUCUUGAAGCUGAUGUCAGAUGUAGUGAAGUGACAAGAAUUGCCGCAUAUGCAGGAGCAACCGCUAAAACAAGACCAGCAUCGAUACCCGCAGGACGAACAAUUAAGGUGAAAUAAGAUAGAGCCCCGAGCAUUUUCUUCAAUGCAUCAACUAACCAUGUCAGACUAUUUCCACUUGAAGACGUUUUAAAGCGGAGUUUGUUAAUGCAAAAGAGCAAGAAUAGACCAGCUAUGCCAAUCUCGUCUAAGACUGAUCAAGGAGACACUUCGCAUUGCAGUGUAGUUAACGCGACUCUAAAGAUCAACCAGCAAAUCAAAGUACCGUAGCCGACAUAAGCGUCAAUAAAGAUCAUUUUGAAGUUCAAACGCGCAACACAAUUUUAAGGAAAAAAAAAAAAAAAAAAAAAAAAAAAAAA